Non-coding RNA from Triticum aestivum (bread wheat), 56 nucleotides. Lineage: Eukaryota; Viridiplantae; Streptophyta; Magnoliopsida; Poales; Poaceae. The record is from Rfam.
GGGCGAGAGUAGUACUAGGAUGGGUGACCUCCUGGGAAGUCCUCGUGUUGCAUUCC